Long non-coding RNA from Micropterus salmoides (largemouth bass), 1027 nucleotides. RefSeq lists it as uncharacterized. The transcript is spliced from 3 exons. Lineage: Eukaryota; Metazoa; Chordata; Actinopteri; Centrarchiformes; Centrarchidae. The record is from RefSeq and is a predicted model, not a curated record.
CUCCUCCGUCUCGUGCUGUCCAGCGCUCUCCCCGCCGUAACUACAGUGGAUUUGUCUGAUUCCACCUGCAGUUCUCUAUCUACAACAGCUUUCCCGUUGCAGUGUAAUGGCAGGUUGGGCUGCUGCUUCCUCCGGGCUGACGGAGACAGAUUAUGAACAUACACUCAGCCCUGCAGGCAACUAAACCUCUACCAGUCCUGCUGUAACUCCAGAUCCAAGAUCACCGUCAAACAGCUGAGCAGCCAGCAGUGAUAAUGGACCCAAACCUCAACAACAAGAGAAAAAAGAGUCCUGGACCGGUUUACCUGAGGCUCCUUCACUCUAGAUUCUGCUAAGCCUUCUAUCCACAAAGUCAUUUCAUGGCUGGGAUUCGGCGCUUCCUGAUCACUUGCUGACAAAUGUUUGCUGAAACCGUCCGCCUAAAGGAGCAUUGAAAAGACAAAAAAAAGCAACCUUGGCUGCAGACUGCGAGCAGUUUGUGUGUCUGUGGUUAGGUCUGUAAUCAUGGGGAAAGAACAGGAUCUGCUGGUUGCAGUGAAGAGUGGAGAUCUUCUGCUGGCGCACAAACUUCUCUCCAAAGUCAAGUGCAACAAAACAAUGUAACUGUGAAAUGAAGCACAGAAAUUGCCCAGUUGACUUUCUGGAGCUAAAUAAAAGUUGGACCUUCACCAGGCAAACGCAGCAGCUGGUUACAAAGUAGAGUUCAAUAAGGUAUGCGUUUAUGGCUCAUCUUUUUACCACCUGCACACAAAGAGCGUUAAACAAAGAUAAAUGAACAGCAAAUGGCAUUUGCCCGUGUAUUUCUCUCUUAGUCUCCCUCUACCAUACUCACUCCCACACGCGUGCACACGAUGCUUUCAACCCCGCUGAUCCUCGAGGACCCUAGCAGGACCUUGUCAGCAUAGUCAUUUGUCACUUCAGUCAGAGCCUGCAGUGUCUGACAGCAGCGCAGCAGAUGCUGUUGCUGGCUGUGAGGACUCCGCACAUGACCUCCACUGUCUCCAAUUUACAGAACGGCCAUGUCAAU